AGGUUCCGCUCCCAUCUGCGCGCAGCCAGCGCCGAGCCCCCGCGCUCCCCCGCUCCGCUCCCGGCGGAUUAUCCCCCCCUGUUUAAAGCGGGGUGGGGGGCGUCAGGAGAUUCCCCCCUCCCUCCCCAAGGCACAGUCACAAGCCCCCUCUCGCUGCCCUACACUGUCACACACCCACUCCCAGCAGCACCCACCCCACCCCCGAAAUUAAUAUAUCUCCUCAGAAACUUCCCGGGAGGAUCCUGCCCGGCUCUUCCCUCUCCGUGGGGUCGGAUCAGACCCACGCGUGACGCCUUCCCCGGGGGGUGGCUGGCUCCAUGCGAGCCCGGGUUAGCCGGAGCUGGGCCCCCCCGCCCGGCGCUGCCCCGGCCCGGGCGCAGGGAAAGCCGCACUUCCCGUCUCCUCCCCGCGCACCUCGUGGAAGAGGAGGGGUGUGGGAGCGUAACCCUGUCGGCGCCGGUGCCAGCCGAGUGGCCUUCAUCGGCAACGCCGAAGAAAGAAAGAAAAAAAGGAAUAAUAAAUACAUUAAAAUCCCAUUUUCCAGCGGCCUCCCGCUUCCCUGCGCGCACCCCCUCGAUCAGCAGCCGCCGGGGCCGGGGCCGGGGCCGGGGCCGAGCCAGCGCCCACCACAACAAUGAUAGCGGCGGCCGGAGCCGAGCUGCGAGCGGGGGAAGAGCCGCAGAGCCACCCCCAGAUUGGCGGGGGGAAGGAAAGCGCCCGGUUCCCGGCCUGGAGGUGUCGUUGAAAGAAAGCAACUUUGCCGGGGAGGGGAACACGGCGCGGGGGCAGCGGCAGGGGGGUGCACCAGCCCGGCGGCCGCGGGGACCGGCGGGGAUGGGCGUGCGGCGCGGCGGCCUCCCGAGGCGGCUCCGGGCCCGGGGGGGACACAGGGGGACCCCGCUACGGUACCGGCGGCGUUUGGGGAAGGGGGGCACGCAGCUUCGGACCCCCCCCACCGCCACGCGUGGGGACCCCCCCGCUGCCGGCGCUCGGGAAGCUCCUACCGGGGAGAGCGGCCGCGCAGUGCCCGGGCGGCGGGAGGCCGGGGCCGGGGGGCGAGGCGGCCCCCAGCACCCCCCUAGAGGCGGGCGCUUCCCUCCUCCCUCCCUGCUCCCUCCCCUCUGA
Molecule: long non-coding RNA, 1125 nt
Filed under: Taeniopygia guttata (zebra finch)
Lineage: Eukaryota; Metazoa; Chordata; Aves; Passeriformes; Estrildidae
Description: lncRNA (ENSTGUG00000021966.1)
Source: RNAcentral